GGAGUAGCAAUACAACUGGUGGCGACCGGCGCACGGGUGAGUAACGCGUAUGCAACCUAUCUAUCAGAGGGGAAUAACCCGGCGAAAGUCGGACUAAUACCGCAUAAAACAGGGGCACCGCAUGGUGAUAUUUGUUAAAGAAAUUCGCUGAUAGAUGGGCAUGCGUUCCAUUAGGUAGUUGGUGAGGUAACGGCUCACCAAGCCGACGAUGGAUAGGGGAACUGAGAGGUUGGUCCCCCACACUGGUACUGAGACACGGACCAGACUCCUACGGGAGGCAGCAGUGAGGAAUAUUGGUCAAUGGGCGAGAGCCUGAACCAGCCAAGUCGCGUGAAGGAAGAAGGAUCUAUGGUUCGUAAACUUCUUUUGCAGGGGAAUAAAGUGCAGGACGUGUCCUGUUUUGUAUGUACCCUGAGAAUAAGGAUCGGCUAACUCCGUGCCAGCAGCCGCGGUAAUACGGAGGAUCCGAGCGUUAUCCGGAUUUAUUGGGUUUAAAGGGUGCGUAGGUGGUUUUAUAAGUCAGCGGUGAAAGUUUGCAGCUUAACUGUAAAAAUGCCGUUGAAACUGUAAGACUUGAGUGUAAAUGAGGUAGGCGGAAUGCGUGGUGUAGCGGUGAAAUGCAUAGAUAUCACGAAGAACUCCGAUUG
This 647-nucleotide ribosomal RNA is filed under the name uncultured Bacteroidales bacterium. Its description in RNAcentral is "bacterial SSU rRNA". It matches the Rfam family "Bacterial small subunit ribosomal RNA", at positions 73 to 715 of the family's 1533-position model. Lineage: Bacteria; Pseudomonadati; Bacteroidota; Bacteroidia; Bacteroidales. The record is from RNAcentral.